CAUCUCGUCCUUGUCCUCCCCCACGCCUCCUUCCUCCCGCCUUCCUCCUUGACGACGCCGCCGGCGCCUCGCGGGUCGCGGCCGCUCACUCCUCUUAAAGCGCGCGCCCCGCCCAAACCCUACCUUGGAAAACCCUUCACGCCACCACGGGGACUCCAUUCCGCCUCUCGCGAUGUCGCUCGAGAUCCACGAGGAGGAUGGUGGGGUGUCCGGUGCUCGCCCGGCGAAGGUGAUGUCUGUCUCGGGGAGCGGGAAGCGGGGGCGGUACGUGCGGCAGGUGACGGGGCGGCACAACGACACCGACCUCCACGUGGCGGCGCGGGGCGGGGACGCCGCGGCGCUGCGGCGCGCGCUGCACGAGGCCGCGGCGGCCGUGGCCACCGGGGAGGGGCCGGAGGAGCUCGAGGAGGCUCGGCGCGCGGUGGCCGCGGAGCCGAACGAGGCUGGGGAGACGCCUCUGGUCGCCGCGGCGGAGAGGGGGCACCUCGAGGUGGUGGUGGAACUGCUCCGGCACCUCGACGCCGAGGGGCUGGCGGCAAAGAAUAGGUCGGGCUACGACGCACUGCACGUCGCGGCGAGGGAAGGCCGUCAUGCUGUUGUGCAGGAAAUGUUACUUCGUGACAGGAUGCUUGCCAAGACACUUGGUCCUGGAAAUACUACUCCACUUAUAUCAGCAGCUAUGAGGGGCCAUAUUGAAGUUGUUGAACUGUUGCUGGAACAAGAUGACUUUGGAUUGGCGGAAAUGGCCAGAGAUAAUGGAAAAAAUGCCCUACAUUUUGCUGCUCGGCAGGGACAUAUUGGAAUUGUGAAAGCACUACUUGAGAAAGAUCCUCAGUUAGCAAGAAGAAAUGACAAGAAAGGUCAAACUGCUCUUCAUAUGGCCGUAAAGGGAACAAGCUGUGAUGUUCUUAGACCUCUAGUGGAUGCUGAUCCAGCAAUUGUAAUGCUGCCAGAUAAAAAUGGGAACACAGCUUUGCAUGUCGCAACAAGAAAAAAGCGAGCAGAGAUAGUUAGUGUUCUCUUGCGGCUACCAGAUACUCAUGUCAAUGCACUGACCAGAGACCACAAGACUGCAUACGAUAUAGCUGAAGGGUUGCCAGUAUGUGAAGAGUCUUGUGAAAUUAAGGAUAUUUUAUCACAACAUGGUGCUCUCAGAUCUAGGGAGCUGAAUCAACCUCGAGAUGAGCUGCGGAAGACAGUGACAGAGAUAAAGAAAGAUGUCCAUACACAACUGGAGCAAACAAGAAAAACAAACAAAAAUGUUCAUGGCAUUGCUAAAGAACUCAGAAAGUUGCACAGAGAAGGCAUCAACAAUGCCACAAAUUCUGUAACUGUUGUUGCGGUGCUGUUUGCAACUGUUGCUUUUGCAGCUAUAUUCACUGUACCUGGUGGAAAUGACAACGAUGGACUUGCAGUUGUUGUUCAGGCUACCUCCUUUAAGAUUUUCUUCAUCUUCAAUGCCGUAGCUCUGUUUACAUCAUUGGCGGUAGUUGUAGUUCAAAUAACAGUUGUCAGGGGAGAAACCAAGUCUGAGCGAAGGGUUGUUGAGGUGAUCAACAAACUUAUGUGGAUAGCAUCUGUUUGCACUACAAUUUCUUUCAUUGCCUCCUGCUAUAUUGUACUAGGCCGCCACUUCCAGUGGGCAGCAAUACUGGUAUCUUUGAUAGGUGGUGUCACAAUGGCUGGCGUACUUGGUACAAUGACAUACUAUGUAGUGAAAUCAAAGCGUAUGAGGAAGAUCAGAAAAAAGGAGAAGAUGUCAAGAAGAAGUGGCUCAAGCUCCUUGUAUGACAAUACUGAGCUCUCAGAUACUGAACUUAACCCAGUCUAUGCCUUGUAAAAAUAAAGGGUGUCUGGACUCUGUCUCUCACCAGAUUCGAGACUUGCCCAUUGUGCAAGGCUCCUACAGUUGAGGAAUUUGAUGGCACCAAAUGUGCUCAAUCUAUUGUACAUAUUGCAUGACAGAUCAUCUUGUUCAUUCAAUGUAUGCACUUAUAUGUAAUUUGUUAUGCUGCUGCAAAGUCUCAAGCAUUAUCCAGGUACUCCUGUACUUCAUUUCUAGUUCUGAGCUUGUUUCUUUAAUUUGGUAAUGCGACUUCAGGCCUUGACAGGGUUUUAGUUUCUUUUAAGCACUUAGACUGUUCAUAACAUGCUAUUUCAUCUUUUAAUAGUGAUCUCUUGUGUACUGCAACUGUAGGAUGUUAAUUUAAAUGCUUAUUGGGCUAAACUAAAUGCUUAUUUUCAAGUUAGAGUCUUUUUUUUAUCAUUGCUGCAAACCAAGUGAUGUUAAGGAUUACUAGUAUACUCUGGAUGUAAUUUUGAUUUAUGCUAUUUUUUCUUUCAAUAAUAAUUUUUUUAUAUACUGCUACUGGAUAAUGUAGCAAAACUUAUUGGGCUAAAUUAAGUGCAUAUUUUCAAGAGUUUUUGGUUGAUCGAGGCUGGAAACAAAUUGAUAUUAUGGAUCACUAGUUCACUCUGGAUGUAAUUUUGGUUUUAUUCCUCUGCUUAUGUUGAACCUAUGAAAAUUUCUGCCACUAGUUUAUGUAACACUGAAGUGCACUGAAUACUCACCUUGCCAGCAAGAGCAUGUGCAGUUUUAUGUGUACUGUAUCCAUAAUGAUAGUAUGAUACUGUUUAUGAUAUUCACCUUGUUGAAUCUGAAAUGGUCAGUGGGAUGCACAUGUUCUGGUAGACUUUGGUGCAGGUACCAAUCACUGGAUAUAAGAUUACUUCGGUCUGUCACAAGUUACUUUUCUAACUAAUCAGAGAGUCGGCAUUUCCAUAAAAAAAAAUCAAAGUCAGUGGCACAAGUUGGCACUGCAAUGCAAACAUACUUUUUUUUUGCAGGACUAGAAAGGCAAAAAGAGGAAACUUGUGCCAUGCAAAACAACAUAAGAUUUAUCUAAAAAACAAAGAAAACAUUGGCUAACUACUGGUGCUUAAGAGGCAGGGAGGUGUAAAGUAGGCCAUAUUAUGUUGCUGCCAGUCCUAACACUGCUCAACAUCAUCAAUGUAGUGGAUAACUCUGCUUACCUUUUGCUUUAAUCUUGCCCUGCCUUUUGUCAGCAUGCUCUCUUAGUUUAAGGAUUCCUGUCUUAACUUGGCCAUUUCUUAAGUAUAUGUCCUGCUUUGAAGCUAAGGAAUGCUCCCUUGUUUGGUUUCUUUUGUUUCCAUAUAGGAUAGACUCUGACAAGAAGUGUUCUUUAAUGUAAUUGCUUGAUGCCUGUGCUGAUAUAUUAUAGGCAUGUUUGGUUUGCUACCUAAGGCGCCACCACGCCUAAGGUUAGCAUGCUGCCGCAGGUGCGGUGCUCAAAUCGACCGCCGCAGGUGCGGCGUGAAAAUUGUGUGGCAUGUCGAUGGAACCGCGCCUAAGAAAGUGUGGCCGACUAACUUUAGCUGUUCACCAAACGCAUGCCUCCGAUGCUAUGGCGCGCCUAAGGUUAGGCUGUGGCGCCUUAGGCAGCGAACCAAACACGCCCUAUGUCUGAUCUGUUGUUGUAGUCUCAACAUUGCUAGGUGCUUAAAUGAGGAAAACUACUGAGUUGGAAAUUCAACAUGAUGGAAAUGAGGUUGAUCUUGUCCAUUGCUUUGCAGCUUUCCUGAUCCCCAAAGAAAAUGGCUACAUCUAUUGUGAAGGUCACAAUAUGAAACAUAUAUCAUAUCUGCAGAAAGAUCAAGAUGAAAAGAGCACAGAAUUAUUGGGGAACAUUGAUAUUUCGACCAAUAUCAAAUAUACCCUAUGUGUCUUCAGAUUCUGCUGCUAUUUUUGAUGCUGAUGAUGACAUGAACCGGAAACCUGCGUCACUUGCACUUUUCCUCACUGAGGCCAGCUGUUGUGACUUUUUACAGUAUGCUAUUGCACCCUGAAUUGGAUUGUCCAUCUCUGAACUUGCACUGCUGCUCCUCCUCAGCACCGGUCCUACACCGGAAUCUUUUGAGCUUGGGAUGGAGAAGGAGGAUGAAUUUGAUGAAGAGCAUGAUGAUGAUGAAACUGAGGAUGGCUUGUUUGAUGAUGAAUAUCUGAUAAUGACGCUGGAGAAGGAUCUUCUAUGGCCGCACUCAUCCUCUUUAAGCUUGCUACCUAGUGUGGUUCUAUUGCUGACGGGUGAGGCUAUGUACCUGUUGCUUCUGAUAUGGCUAAUUGAGUUCUUCCUCCAGGUCUUGAACUGUGAAUUCGAUAGCUCAUCUGCUCUAGGCUGCUGCCUCCUCGGCAGCAUCACUACCAGCGGAUAUGCACUCAUGGAAGUAGUACUCCGCAUUGAGCUCACCACUGGCAUAGCAUGAAUUUGCUGCUGAUGCAUUGCAUGACUGGUAUGGUGUUGCUGGGGCAGUGCUUGCUGAGAGUAAGCCCUUUUCAGCUGCACUCUCAAGGAGCUUCUCAACCAUCUGAAUGCGUGGUGGAAGAUGGAGCGGUAGCAGCUUGCCCUUGUAGAAGAGCUCAUCUGCUGGGGAUGCUUCGGGCUCCCACUGGUCAAGUGGAGCUGGCAUGUGGAAUUCAAACUCUCGCGAGUGUUGUGGGGAGGUUGCCAUAGCGUAGCAGAACAAGCUUGCCUUGGUGAUGGCCACAUCUGCUGCUGGGUUACAAGGCAACCAUUAAGAUAUAGGCUUACGAGGUGAUCACUUUAUCGAUAGAUUAUUCGCAAAAUGUCUACCGAUAUGUGGGACCUGCACACCAGUUGGUCUGCCUGUAAACUGGACAGAUACACUUGGAAGCUUCAUAUUCUUUCAAGCAAGUGUUGAAAGUUGUUUUUCAAAUGCUUGGGUUGCAUGAUGGUAGCUUGGAUUGAAACUUGGAAUUUAAAGGCCUUCUUGUUUAUAAAAAUUAAGUUUUCCACGGUUAAA
This is an RNA transcript of Panicum virgatum (switchgrass), 4842 nucleotides long. It is a transcript of the gene named ankyrin repeat-containing protein NPR4-like, with no coding region annotated. NCBI's taxonomy places the organism in Eukaryota, Viridiplantae, Streptophyta, Magnoliopsida, Poales, Poaceae. The record is from RefSeq and is a predicted model, not a curated record. The transcript has 9 exons.